UGCAGUCGAGCGGCAGCGGGAAGUAGCUUGCUACUUUGCCGGCGAGCGGCGGACGGGUGAGUAAUGUCUGGGAAACUGCCUGAUGGAGGGGGAUAACUACUGGAAACGGUAGCUAAUACCGCAUGACGUCGCAAGACCAAAGUGGGGGACCUUCGGGCCUCACGCCAUCGGAUGUGCCCAGAUGGGAUUAGCUAGUAGGUGAGGUAAUGGCUCACCUAGGCGACGAUCCCUAGCUGGUCUGAGAGGAUGACCAGCCACACUGGAACUGAGACACGGUCCAGACUCCUACGGGAGGCAGCAGUGGGGAAUAUUGCACAAUGGGCGCAAGCCUGAUGCAGCCAUGCCGCGUGUGUGAAGAAGGCCUUAGGGUUGUAAAGCACUUUCAGCGAGGAGGAAGGCGUUGUAGUUAAUAGCUGCAACGAUUGACGUUACUCGCAGAAGAAGCACCGGCUAACUCCGUGCCAGCAGCCGCGGUAAUACGGAGGGUGCAAGCGUUAAUCGGAAUUACUGGGCGUAAAGCGCACGCAGGCGGUUUGUUAAGUCAGAUGUGAAAUCCCCGAGCUUAACUUGGGAACUGCAUUUGAAACUGGCAAGCUAGAGUCUUGUAGAGGGGGGUAGAAUUCCAGGUGUAGCGGUGAAAUGCGUAGAGAUCUGGAGGAAUACCGGUGGCGAAGGCGGCCCCCUGG
This 686-nucleotide ribosomal RNA is filed under the name Ewingella sp. M29T14. RNAcentral's name for it is "bacterial SSU rRNA". It matches the Rfam family "Bacterial small subunit ribosomal RNA", at positions 56 to 732 of the family's 1533-position model. The record is from RNAcentral. Lineage: Bacteria; Pseudomonadati; Pseudomonadota; Gammaproteobacteria; Enterobacterales; Yersiniaceae.